RNAcentral lists this ribosomal RNA (451 nucleotides) under uncultured soil bacterium. RNAcentral's name for it is "bacterial SSU rRNA". It matches the Rfam family "Bacterial small subunit ribosomal RNA", at positions 951 to 1384 of the family's 1533-position model. The record is from RNAcentral.
UAGUGAUUAACGCGAAGAACCUUACCCAGGCUUGAACUGCGAGUGACCACUCCCGAAAGGGGGCUUCCGCAAGGACACUCGUAGAGGUGCUGCAUGGCUGUCGUCAGCUCGUGUCGUGAGAUGUUGGGUUAAGUCCCGCAACGAGCGCAACCCUUGUUUGCUGUUGCCAUCAGGUAAUGCUGGGCACUCUGCAAAGACUGCCGGUGAUAAACCGGAGGAAGGUGGGGAUGACGUCAAGUCAGCAUGGCCUUUAUGUCUGGGGCUACACACGUGCUACAAUGGCCGAUACAAACCGUCGCAAAGCCGCAAGGUGGAGCUAAUCGGAGAAAGUCGGUCUCAGUUCGGAUAGCAGGCUGCAACUCGCCUGCUUGAAGUCGGAAUCGCUAGUAAUCGCGGAUCAACACGCCGCGGUGAAUACGUUCCCGGGCCUUGUCACACCGAAUCGAAUUCC